GCGACGAUUACCAGGGCGAGAUUGAAAUCGCCCAUCUUUCACCCUACCAGCAGCUCGACUUUCCUUCUAGAUUCAAACGGGGAUAGCGAAUUCAGUGGGAAAUGAAAUCAAUCAAUGAUGCUUGGAAAAGAGGGGAAAUUUUAGGGUUUUCUUCCUGAAUUUGAAUUUUUUGUUAGAUCUGAAUUGAUUUUUGGGAAGAAGGC
RNAcentral lists this long non-coding RNA (203 nucleotides) under Linum usitatissimum (flax). RNAcentral's name for it is "long non-coding RNA (LUSI_LNC000036)". The record is from RNAcentral. Lineage: Eukaryota; Viridiplantae; Streptophyta; Magnoliopsida; Malpighiales; Linaceae.